CCUCUGUCCAUGGAAUUCUCCAGGCAGGAAUUCUGGAGUGGAUUGCCAUGCCCUCCUCCUGGGGAUCUUCCCAACCCAUGGAUUGAACCCAGCACUUAUAGGGGAUGUGCUCACACGUGUAAAGCAAAAUCCCAAUUAGAGUUGAUGGGGGAUUGGCUACCUAAAGCAAUAAGAAUCUAAGAGCACCGAUGGCUGCAGUCCCAAACAUUCUACACAUUCCAAGUAGAAAGAAGCAAGAAGGAGAUGAUUUCUACUCGUCUAUGUCUCACUGUCCAAACUAAGUCACAUGGCUGUGUUAAUUACCAGGGAAUCUGAGAAGGCAAGGACUUCAGUAAAGGAAAGGCUAGGCUUAGACCCACAAGCGGACAAAGUUGUAGAAGUUGGCAGCAGAGUGGUUAAAGAGAGCCCCACCUUUCAGAUGUGAGAACCAACAUGGAAGUUCAGGAAACUGGAAAGUACCAAAAUAUCUGGAA
Long non-coding RNA from Bos taurus (domestic cattle), 473 nucleotides. Lineage: Eukaryota; Metazoa; Chordata; Mammalia; Artiodactyla; Bovidae. The record is from Ensembl.